RNAcentral lists this non-coding RNA (169 nucleotides) under Weissella koreensis. RNAcentral describes it as "Lysine sequence". It matches the Rfam family "Lysine riboswitch aptamer". From Rfam's summary of the family: Riboswitches are metabolite binding domains within certain messenger RNAs that serve as precision sensors for their corresponding targets. Allosteric rearrangement of mRNA structure is mediated by ligand binding, and this results in modulation of gene expression. The record is from Rfam by way of RNAcentral. Lineage: Bacteria; Bacillati; Bacillota; Bacilli; Lactobacillales; Lactobacillaceae.
AUAAAGAUUAGAGGUCGCAAUUGACAUCAUUAUUUAGCGGAGCUGGUAGGCUUAGAGACUAAAGAAAGGGGAUAUUGCCGAAAUGGAAAAUAGACAUAUUUUUCAUUGGUCUAGGUGUUAAUAGCAACUAGAUUGUCGUAAUGAUACAUUACGGAGCGCUUAUCGAUGA